Molecule: ribosomal RNA, 440 nt
Filed under: uncultured bacterium
Lineage: Bacteria
Description: partial 16S ribosomal RNA
Rfam family: Bacterial small subunit ribosomal RNA
Source: RNAcentral
CCUACGGGUGGCAGCAGUGGGGGAUAUUGCACAAUGGGGGAAACCCUGAUGCAGCGACGCCGCGUGUGGGAAGACGGUCCUCUGGAUUGUAAACCACUUUUCCCAGGGACGAAGAUGACGGUACCUGGGGAGGAAGCUCCGGCCAACUACGUGCCAGCAGCCGCGGAAAUACGUAGGGAGCGAGCGUUGUCCGGAAUUACUGGGUGUAACGGGAGCGUAGGCGGGACUGCAAGUUGGGGGUCAAAUCUACCGGCUCAACCGGUAGCCGCACUCAAAACUGCAGUUCUUGAGUGAAGUAGAGGCAGGCGGAAUUCCUAGUGUAGCGGUGAAAUGCGUAGAUAUUAGGAGGAACACCAGUGGCGAAGGCGGCCUGCUGGGCUUUUACUGACGCUGAGGCUCGAAAGUGUGGGGAGCGAACAGGAUUAGAUACCCGUGUAGUC